GAUGAACGCUGGCGGCGUGCCUAUACAUGCAAGUCGAGCGAAUGGAUUAAGAGCUUGCUCUUAUGAAGUUAGCGGCGGACGGGUGAGUAACACGUGGGUAACCUGCCCAUAAGACUGGGAUAACUCCGGGAAACCGGGGCUAAUACCGGAUAACAUUUUGAACCGCAUGGUUCGAAAUUGAAAGGCGGCUUCGGCUGUCACUUAUGGAUGGACCCGCGUCGCAUUAGCUAGUUGGUGAGGUAAAGGCCCACGAAGGCAACGAUGCGUAGCCGACCUUGGAGGGUGAUCGGCCAAACUGUGACUGAGACACGGCCCAGACUCCUACGGGAGGCAGCAGUAGGGAAUCUUCCGCAAUGGACGAAAGUCUGACGGAGCAACGCCGCGUGGGUGAUGAAGGCUUUCGGGUCGUAAAACUCUGUUGUUAGGGAAGAACAAGUGCUAGUUGAAUAAGCUGGCACCUUGACGGUACCUAACCAGAAAGCCACGGCUAACUACGUGCCAGCAGCCGCCGUAA
This 514-nucleotide ribosomal RNA is filed under the name uncultured bacterium. RNAcentral describes it as "partial 16S ribosomal RNA". It matches the Rfam family "Bacterial small subunit ribosomal RNA", at positions 28 to 523 of the family's 1533-position model. The record is from RNAcentral.